RNAcentral lists this ribosomal RNA (301 nucleotides) under uncultured bacterium. RNAcentral's name for it is "partial 16S ribosomal RNA". It matches the Rfam family "Bacterial small subunit ribosomal RNA", at positions 509 to 807 of the family's 1533-position model. The record is from RNAcentral.
CAGCAGCCGCGGUAAUACAGAGGGUGCGAGCGUUAAUCGGAUUUACUGGGCGUAAAGCGUGCGUAGGCGGCUUCUUAAGUCGGAUGUGAAAUCCCUGAGCUUAACUUAGGAAUUGCAUUCGAUACUGGGAAGCUAGAGUAUGGGAGAGGAUGGUAGAAUUCCAGGUGUAGCGGUGAAAUGCGUAGAGAUCUGGAGGAAUACCGAUGGCGAAGGCAGCCAUCUGGCCUAAUACUGACGCUGAGGUACGAAAGCAUGGGGAGCGAACAGGAUUAGAUACCCCGGUAGUCCCUGUCUCUUAUAC